UAUUUUUGAAAUGGUAGCAUAAAUGUUUCAAGUAUAUCGAGUUGUCAAUCUAAUCUAACCUAACCUAAUUUAACUAAUUUUUCUAGGUUUAUAUAAUAAUAUUUUAAAGUGUUUAAAGAAAAAUAGAAAUAAAGAAAAGAUUCAUGUCCAGAUGGAGAUAUACAUAUUUAAUAUUUGAUAUAUAUUCACAAGAUCCAGUCUCUGGCCAUAAAAUGGAAAACCUGAAUCGAGAUGGCUGAAACUCAAAUGACAAAAAGAAGGUCAAUGACUAGCGAGUUUUUUUGCCAGAAUCAAGGCGGUCUAAUUGAACGAAUCGUGGAAGGUGUGUAGUCCUAACGAUAAAAGAAAAUAACUUGGGAAGUAUUUAUGCAAAUACGCGCCUUUGCAUGGUGCAUGCAAAUCAACUUUAUCGAAGGUGGCACGACACGAAGGUAGUUCACCCUUUCGCGGAAGAGACGUCUCUUCCCUCGAUUGGCCGCGUUUGGCGGGAGCGAAAACGCGAUUACCUUAAAGCCCCUCCUCCCACGAGGCCCUUCCUCGCGGCGUGUCGCCCCGCGAGAAAUGGAAUCGAAUAUCCGGCUUGAUUCUCACCGAGACCUAAUUAUCGAUCGGUGGAAAGGCCGGGAUCCUCAACAAGCACAACAUUGAUUUACGGAUGUGUCGUAUCCCCGUGCAAAGGGAUUCCUCGUACAUUGACUCACGGGCUGGCAGCCGUGCUAAAUGCAGUUGCAACUCUGCCCCUGGCUCUGUUCCAGCUCUGUACAACUGUAUUCCGCCUCGAUGGAUUCGGUAAUCGAGCCGAACUUUGGCCCCAACGACCGGAAACAAUGUUCGAUCAUACUCGAAUCUUUCCGAUGGAAGAACACUUUUUCCCUUUAAUUUUCGAUUAUUUAAUUCGAGGAAUGGAGGGAAGAGGCGAAUGGAGAAAAGGUAGGAUGGAUUUUGCGCGCGAAGAAAUAGAGGAACGUUUGUGAGUAGAGGUAGAAAGAAGACUUUUUAUCAAUUUUCGAUUUGAGGAAAGCAGGGAGAAGAGGA
Molecule: long non-coding RNA, 1035 nt
Organism: Apis laboriosa (Himalayan honeybee)
Lineage: Eukaryota; Metazoa; Arthropoda; Insecta; Hymenoptera; Apidae
Exons: 5
Source: RefSeq, a predicted model, not a curated record